GACGAACGCUGGCGGCGUGCUUAACACAUGCAAGUCGAACGGAAAGGCCCUGCUUUUGUGGGGUGCUCGAGUGGCGAACGGGUGAGUAACACGUGAGUAACCUGCCCUUGACUUUGGGAUAACUUCAGGAAACUGGGGCUAAUACCGGAUAGGAGCUCCUGCUGCAUGGUGGGGGUUGGAAAGUUUCGGCGGUUGGGGAUGGACUCGCGGCUUACCAGCUUGUUGGUGGGGUAGUGGCUUACCAAGGCUUUGACGGGUAGCCGGCCUGAGAGGGUGACCGGCCACGUUGGGACUGAGAUACGGCCCAGACUCCUACGGGAGGCAGCAGUGGAGAGUAUUGCACAAUGGGCGGAAGCCUGAUGCAGCAACGCCGCGUGCGGGAUGACGGCCUUCGGGUUGUAAACCGCUUUCGCCUGUGACGAAGCGUGAGUGACGGUAAUGGGUAAAGAAGCACCGGCUAACUACGUG
RNAcentral lists this ribosomal RNA (468 nucleotides) under uncultured bacterium. Its description in RNAcentral is "partial 16S ribosomal RNA". It matches the Rfam family "Bacterial small subunit ribosomal RNA", at positions 28 to 507 of the family's 1533-position model. The record is from RNAcentral.